RNAcentral lists this long non-coding RNA (471 nucleotides) under Malus domestica (apple). RNAcentral's name for it is "long non-coding RNA (MDOM_LNC011871)". The record is from RNAcentral. Lineage: Eukaryota; Viridiplantae; Streptophyta; Magnoliopsida; Rosales; Rosaceae.
AAUUGAAUUCACAACUUAUGAAUCACAACUGGAUGUAAUCAAAUCAUAUUGCAAGCAUGAACAUAGUUUCGAAUCACCCCCUAACUAAGAGGGGUUUAGUUCCUCAUACUUACAAAGCAAAGAUGCAUAAAUUUAGACAUUAAAAACAAAGAUAGAAAACACCUAGAAACGCUCCAACACUCCCGAGGCUUGGGCAUAGGCACGGCACAAGAUGUUCCUUCUCUUUCCUUCCUUGCAAGCAGCGGCACUAGAGGUUUUGGACGGUUUUGGGUGGUUUUUAUGGUGUAGAAUGGAUGGGGAAUGGUAUGGAAAGGUUUAGGGUAAGUGUGGAGGAGUGUUUGAGGGUUGGAGGGUGGUGGAGAACUAGGCAAAGAGGGUGGAAGAAGGUGGAGUGGCUGUUAUGUUUUCUAGGCACUAGAAUGGUGUUUUUGGGGUGUUUUGCUUCCUAGGGUGUGUAUGGACGAAUUGUUG